ACAAAGUACUGCGUCCAAGGGUCCCUAAAAGACAGGCCUUAGCCCAGCAGAGGGGACAACUGAUUGUAGUUUUCCAGAGCAGGAAGAUUUAUUAUGCCAAGUAGCCACUGGUGGCUCAGAAGGUAAAGAAUCUGCCUGCAAUGCAGGAAAGCCGGGUUCAAUCCCUGGGUCAGGAAAAUCCCCUGGAGAAGGGAAUGGUUACCCACUCCAGUAUUCUUGCCUGGGAAAUCUCACAGACAGAGGAGCCUGGUGGGCUAAUGCCCAAGGGGUCACAAAGAGUCAGACUCAACUGAACGACUAACAUACAGCAAUUGCUGAGAUCAGCUACUCAGUGCCAUUCUCUUCUGCAGCACCUUCUUCUACUUGCUGGGUCCUGGCUACAUCUUCCCAACCUAUCUGGUUAUCAACCUCUAAGCAUCCCAGCUCCAGUCAAAACUCCUCUGCUGGGGGCUUCCCUGGUGGUCCAGUGGUAAAGAAUCCAUCACCAAUGCAGGAUACACGGGUUCGAUCCCUGGUCUGGGAAGAUCCCACAUGUCAAGGAGCAACUAAGCCUGGGCACCACAACUGCUGAGCCUGUGCUCUAGAGCCUGGGAGCUGCAACCAUUGAAACCACAUGCUGCUGAAGCCUGAGCGCCCUAGAGCCUGUGCUUCACCAGAGAAGUCGCCACAGUGAGAAACCCGCUCACUGCAACCAGAGAGUAGCCCCCACUCAUAGCAAUCAGAGAAAGCCUGCACACAGCAACAAAGACCCAGCACAGCCAAAAA
Long non-coding RNA from Bubalus bubalis (water buffalo), 765 nucleotides. RefSeq lists it as uncharacterized. The transcript is spliced from 2 exons. Lineage: Eukaryota; Metazoa; Chordata; Mammalia; Artiodactyla; Bovidae. The record is from RefSeq and is a predicted model, not a curated record.